AGCACUAAUUUUCAUAAGCAAAGCAAUGAAAUUGAAAAGCAAAUAACAAGAAAAUUUUCAUAUAAUCAAGCGAACACAUUAUUUUUGGGUAAGUUCUAUAGGGUUUCGGGUUAAUUUUGGAUCGACUAUAUCGAGUGUCAGGUUAUUCGGUCAUGGGCUAUUCGGGCUGUAAUUUUUAUUGGAUUGAAAAUGUUCAGCUUAAUCAUCUCGAGAUGACACGUUAAUCGGGUCAGCCCGCGAAUUUCGGGCUGGAUUGACAGUCCAUAGCUUCAAUGCAAAUGUAUUUCACAAAGAACUGACAUAUUGGCCAUAUUCACAAGUAAGUGAAGAUCUAGAAUCAGCAAGCUCUUUCAUGUAAUAAAACUUGAAAAUUUGAUCCAUUUCAUAACUUGAGGUUCGAUGAAAUUAUCAAAAGCAUGUGAACUUCUGAAGAAAUAUCAAACAUUUUUAACAAGAGAACGUUUGUGCAGCUUGUUAAUAUAGCUCAUAGCUUGAAUGUUUUUUAUUAAAACAUUAUUGAGCUUUUCCUUGAAGUGUUGGACUUUCGAACAGCCGGUCAUACCCCGCACGGUCCACCCCUUUAUUCAAUUUUUUAUUUUUUAUUUAGUACUUUUUAUUAUUUAAUUGAUGUUAACUUGAACUUUAAUUGAGAUUAAUAAAAUCUAUUCCCCGAUUUCCAAAGAGUGAUAUGCAUAGAUCUCAAAUCACCUAGAACAAUAACUUAUCUUAAUUAGAGUGGACCCUAUGGUAAAGUCUAGACUCGCCCAAGUUUUUAUCUUCAUUGAAUGGAACAAUUAACUAUGAAUGGAAAAAAAAAAAAUUACUUCUGCCAAGAGUUUAUAGCUCAUGGUCACUCAAACUAUGAGUAACUAAAAAGAAAAGAAACUAUAGUAAGGUAACAAUUAGUGACUCUAAAAAAUUAUAGUAGUAUGAAAGCAAAUACAUAACCAACUCUCUUCUGAGAUGCAUCGUUCUACCACUAAUGAAUAUUUAUCUUACAUUUUUCAAAAUUCAAUUUUUUUAUGACGAAUAACCUAUAAAUGCUAUCUGGUGCGCAUCAAAUAAACCUCGCUCAUGUGCAAUAGCAUGCAUAGUGCUUAGACAUGUAAAAACACAUCAAUCCCAAUAAAUUAAACCAAUUAAUGUUCAU
RNAcentral lists this long non-coding RNA (1150 nucleotides) under Salvia miltiorrhiza (redroot sage). RNAcentral's name for it is "long non-coding RNA (SMIL_LNC013800)". The record is from RNAcentral. Lineage: Eukaryota; Viridiplantae; Streptophyta; Magnoliopsida; Lamiales; Lamiaceae.